AAGACAGUACCAGGUCACUGUUUUUGAGGCAUGACAAAGUGUCUGGAAAAACGCGAGGUUGGAGUUAG
This 68-nucleotide microRNA precursor is filed under the name Nematostella vectensis (starlet sea anemone). RNAcentral's name for it is "microRNA nve-mir-9454 precursor". Lineage: Eukaryota; Metazoa; Cnidaria; Anthozoa; Actiniaria; Edwardsiidae. The record is from miRBase by way of RNAcentral.